Molecule: long non-coding RNA, 101 nt
Organism: Ficedula albicollis (Collared flycatcher)
Lineage: Eukaryota; Metazoa; Chordata; Aves; Passeriformes; Muscicapidae
Exons: 2
Source: RefSeq, a predicted model, not a curated record
GAAAAACCUCUGAGUGUGCCCUCCUCUUAGGUGCCUUCAGUGCAUAACCAGCACACUCAAUAACCAAACUCCUGUGACCUGCAGUGCAGCAUUAUCCAAAC